RNAcentral lists this transfer RNA (118 nucleotides) under Methylorubrum extorquens. RNAcentral describes it as "tRNA-OTHER". Lineage: Bacteria; Pseudomonadati; Pseudomonadota; Alphaproteobacteria; Hyphomicrobiales; Methylobacteriaceae. The record is from RNAcentral.
AGCGUAGCGCAGUGCUAGCGCAGCGCUCGACUGACCCCUGUCGGAUCAACGACUUAGGCGUGCUCGCGCUCAGAUCAUAAUCCUUGUGUCGGGGGUUCAAAUCCCUCCCUCGCUACCA